ACAAUUUUAGCAUUUAUUGAAUAUAGUGGAAGAUGCCUAUCUAUAAGUUAAAACAUCAUUUUCUCUUGAGACUGUUUUAGACUGGUUUAAAAAACUGUGAAACGAUACUAAUAAUGAACAAAUUAAACUACACAAGAUCGUAGCAAACAAGACAACCGCACAUAAGACAGACGUACGAUUGAUCAGCUGAAACACCACAAAAACCCGAUUGCCAAUACAAUGUUGAAAGUUAUCUUAUCGAUAAAUGACAACAAUAUGCAAGACGCAGUAAAAAAAA
This 277-nucleotide long non-coding RNA is filed under the name Mytilus galloprovincialis (Mediterranean mussel). The record is from RNAcentral. Lineage: Eukaryota; Metazoa; Mollusca; Bivalvia; Mytilida; Mytilidae.